Molecule: long non-coding RNA, 207 nt
Organism: Hibiscus syriacus
Lineage: Eukaryota; Viridiplantae; Streptophyta; Magnoliopsida; Malvales; Malvaceae
Exons: 3
Source: RefSeq, a predicted model, not a curated record
UUACUAGGUUAAAACAUCGACUGUUUGCAUUAUUCAUUUGUUGGACAGCUUGCUGAUGAAUGUGAGAAGCUCUCGCAACCUCCAAGCUCACAUACUGUUGGUUCUUCUAAUGGCUUUGAAAACCUGCGUAAAUCAAAUCAACCUUUCUCACAGUCUACAUCUGGUACUAGUUUUUGUAAAAAGUUGGAAGAAAAUACAGAUUCCAGG